This 440-nucleotide ribosomal RNA is filed under the name uncultured bacterium. RNAcentral describes it as "partial 16S ribosomal RNA". It matches the Rfam family "Bacterial small subunit ribosomal RNA", at positions 338 to 795 of the family's 1533-position model. The record is from RNAcentral.
CCUACGGGUGGCAGCAGUGGGGGAUAUUGCACAAUGGGGGGAACCCUGAUGCAGCGACGCCGCGUGAGCGAAGAAGUACCUCGGUAUGUAAAGCUCUAUCAGCAGGGAAGAAAAUGAUGGUACCUGACUAAGAAGCCCCGGCCAAAUACGUGCCAGCAGCCGCGGUAAUACGUAUGGUGCAAGCGUUAGCCGGAUUUACUGGGUGUAAAGGGAGCGCAGGCGGCUUGCCAAGUCUGGUGCGAAAUCCCGGGGCCAAACCCCGGCCCUGCAUUGGAUACUGGCGGGCUGGAGUGUCGGAGGGGCAGGCGGAAUUCAUGGUGUAGCGGUGAAAUGCGUAGAUAUUAGGAGGAACACCGGUGGCGAAGGCGGCCUGCUGGACGAUGACUGACGCUGAGGCUCGAAAGCGUGGGGAGCAAACAGGAUUAGAUACCCCUGUAGUC